RNAcentral lists this ribosomal RNA (305 nucleotides) under uncultured bacterium. RNAcentral describes it as "bacterial SSU rRNA". It matches the Rfam family "Bacterial small subunit ribosomal RNA", at positions 333 to 655 of the family's 1533-position model. The record is from RNAcentral.
UACCUCCUACGGGGCGCAGCAGUGGGGAAUAUUGCACAAUGGGGGAAACCCUGAUGCAGCGACGCCGCGUGAGUGAAGAAGUAUUUCGGUAUGUAAAGCUCUCUCAGCAGGGAAGAUAAUGACGGUACCUGAGUAAGAAGCCCCGGCUAACUACGUGCCAGCAGCCGCGGUAAUACGUAUGGUGCAAGCGUUAUCCGGAUUUACUGGGUGUAAAGGGAGCGCAGGCGGCGCGUUAAGCCUGGUGUGAAAGCCCGCGGCCCAACCGCGGGACUGCAUUGGGAACUGGCGCGCUGGAGUGCCGGAGG